RNAcentral lists this ribosomal RNA (484 nucleotides) under uncultured bacterium. Its description in RNAcentral is "partial 16S ribosomal RNA". It matches the Rfam family "Bacterial small subunit ribosomal RNA", at positions 28 to 507 of the family's 1533-position model. The record is from RNAcentral.
AUUGAACGCUGGCGGCAUGCUUUACACAUGCAAGUCGAACGGCAGCGCGGGCUUCGGCCUGGCGGCGAGUGGCGAACGGGUGAGUAAUGCGUCGGAACGUGCCCAGUAGUGGGGGAUAGCCCGGCGAAAGCCGGAUUAAUACCGCAUACGACCUGAGGGUGAAAGCGGGGGACCGAAAGGCCUCGCGCUAUUGGAGCGGCCGAUGUCGGAUUAGCUAGUUGGUGGGGUAAAGGCUUACCAAGGCGACGAUCCGUAGCUGGUCUGAGAGGACGACCAGCCACACUGGGACUGAGACACGGCCCAGACUCCUACGGGAGGCAGCAGUGGGGAAUUUUGGACAAUGGGGGCAACCCUGAUCCAGCCAUGCCGCGUGCGGGAAGAAGGCCUUCGGGUUGUAAACCGCUUUUGUUCGGGAAGAAAUCCUCUGGGCUAAUACCCCGGGGGGAUGACGGUACCGGAAGAAUAAGCACCGGCUAACUACGCG